CUGAAUUCCUUGGAACUGAACUUAUAGAGCAUAUUAUGAUAAUAUACGGGAGCUCGGAAGUAAACUUGGGUAGUUUUGCACAAGAACAUCAAGGGUCCAUAAUUCCUGAAUCAUCUCUCAAGAUCAAGAUACUCUACUUGAAAAAGAAGCAGAGAAAAAGAACAUAACCUUAUUCAACUGGCACUAGCUCUCUCUACACUGGGUCUACAGCUCAUACAGAAAUACUGUUUUCAAUACCUCUUAGUUCCGGAAUCACUGUCAGGUUCUUAACUCAUAUCUACAAACUGCAAAAAAAAAUUCAUGUCUUCUUUGGAGUUGACGUGUGAUGUGCAGGAAAAAUCUAUG
Molecule: long non-coding RNA, 345 nt
Organism: Mus pahari (shrew mouse)
Lineage: Eukaryota; Metazoa; Chordata; Mammalia; Rodentia; Muridae
Exons: 3
Source: RefSeq, a predicted model, not a curated record